ACUCCUACGGGAGGCAGCAGUGGGAAUAUUGCACAAUGGAGGAAACUCUGAUGCAGCAACGCCGCGUGGAGGAUGACACUUUUCGGAGCGUAAACUCCUUUUAUAUAGGAAGAUAAUGACGGUACUAUAUGAAUAAGCGCCGGCUAACUCCGUGCCAGCAGCCGCGGUAAUACGGAGGGCGCAAGCGUUACUCGGAAUCACUGGGCGUAAAGAGCGUGUAGCGGAUAGAUAAGUCAGAAGUGAAAUCCUAUAGCUCAACUAUAGAACUGCUUUUUGAAACUGUCUAUCUAGAAUAUGGGAGAGGUAGAUGGAAUUUCUGUGUAGGGGUAAAAUCCGUAGAGAUCAGAAGGAAUACCGAUUGCGAAGGCGAUCUACUGGAACAUUAUUGACGCUGAGACGCGAAAGCGUGGGGAGCAAACAGGAUUAGAUACCCUGGUAGGUC
RNAcentral lists this ribosomal RNA (442 nucleotides) under uncultured bacterium. RNAcentral describes it as "bacterial SSU rRNA". It matches the Rfam family "Bacterial small subunit ribosomal RNA", at positions 335 to 795 of the family's 1533-position model. The record is from RNAcentral.